AGUGAACGCUGGCGGUAGGCCUAACACAUGCAAGUCGAACGGCAGCACAGUAAGAGCUUGCUCUUACGGGUGGCGAGUGGCGGACGGGUGAGGAAUACAUCGGAAUCUACUUUUUCGUGGGGGAUAACGUAGGGAAACUUACGCUAAUACCGCAUACGACCUACGGGUGAAAGCAGGGGAUCUUCGGACCUUGCGCGAUUGAAUGAGCCGAUGUCGGAUUAGCUAGUUGGCGGGGUAAAGGCCCACCAAGGCGACGAUCCGUAGCUGGUCUGAGAGGAUGAUCAGCCAAACUGGAACUGAGACACGGUCCAGACUCCUACGGGGGGCAGCAGUGGGGAAUAUUGGAAAAUGGGCGCAAGCCUGAUCCCGCCAUACCGGGUGGGGGAAGAAGGCCUUCGGGUUGUAAAGCCCUUUUGUUGGGAAAAAAAAGCAGCAGGUUAAUACCCCGCUGUUCUGACGGUACCCAAAGAAAAAGCACCGGCUAACUUCGU
RNAcentral lists this ribosomal RNA (491 nucleotides) under uncultured bacterium. RNAcentral's name for it is "partial 16S ribosomal RNA". It matches the Rfam family "Bacterial small subunit ribosomal RNA", at positions 29 to 506 of the family's 1533-position model. The record is from RNAcentral.